Molecule: ribosomal RNA, 868 nt
Filed under: uncultured bacterium
Lineage: Bacteria
Description: bacterial SSU rRNA
Rfam family: Bacterial small subunit ribosomal RNA
Source: RNAcentral
GGGCUCGAGUGUGGUAGGGGCAGAGGGAAUUCCCGGUGUAGCGGUGAAAUGCGUAGAUAUCGGGAAGAACACCAGUGGCGAAGGCGCUCUGCUGGGCCAUCACUGACGCUCAUGGACGAAAGCCAGGGGAGCGAAAGGGAUUAGAUACCCCCUGUAGUCCUGGCCGUAAACGAUGAACACUAGGUGUCGGGGGAAUCGACCCCUCCGGUGUCGUAGCCAACGCGUUAAGUGUUCCGCCUGGGGAGUACGCACGCAAGUGUGAAACUCAAAGGAAUUGACGGGGGCCCGCACAAGCGGUGGAGUAUGUGGUUUAAUUCGAUGCAACGCGAAGAACCUUACCAGGGUUUGACAUCCUGCGAAUCUCUUGGAAACUUGAGAGUGCCUUCGGGAGCGCAGUGACAGGUGGUGCAUGGCUGUCGUCAGCUCGUGUCGUGAGAUGUUGGGUUAAGUCCCGCAACGAGCGCAACCCACGUCUUUAGUUGCCAGCAUUUAGUUGGGCACUCUAGAGAGACCGCCGGUGAUAAACCGGAGGAAGGUGUGGAUGACGUCAAGUCAUCAUGCCCCUUACAUCCUGGGCUACACACGUACUACAAUGCUACGGACAAAGGGCAGCAAGUUCGCGAGGACAAGCAAAUCCCAUAAACCGUGGCUCAGUUCAGAUCGUAGGCUGCAACUCGCCUACGUGAAGGAGGAAUCGCUAGUAAUCGCAGGUCAGCAUACUGCGGUGAAUACGUUCCCGGGCCUUGUACACACCGCCCGUCACACCAUGGAAGUUGGCCACGCCCGAAGCCGUUACUCCAACCCUUGUGGAGGAGGACGUCGAAGGUGGGGCUGAUGACUGGGGUGAAGUCGUAACAAGGUAGCCGUA